UACGUAGGGUGCGAGCGUUGUCCGGAAUUAUUGGGCGUAAAGGGCUCGUAGGCGGUUUGUCGCGUCGGGAGUGAAAACCUUGGGCUUAACUCAGGGCUUGCUUUCGAUACGGGCAGACUAGAGUUCGGUAGGGGAGACUGGAAUUCCUGGUGUAGCGGUGAAAUGCGCAGAUAUCAGGAGGAACACCGGUGGCGAAGGCGGGUCUCUGGGCCGAAACUGACGCUGAGGAGCGAAAGCGUGGGGAGCAAACAGG
RNAcentral lists this ribosomal RNA (253 nucleotides) under uncultured bacterium. Its description in RNAcentral is "partial 16S ribosomal RNA". It matches the Rfam family "Bacterial small subunit ribosomal RNA", at positions 524 to 776 of the family's 1533-position model. The record is from RNAcentral.